This 472-nucleotide ribosomal RNA is filed under the name uncultured Anaerolineaceae bacterium. Its description in RNAcentral is "bacterial SSU rRNA". It matches the Rfam family "Bacterial small subunit ribosomal RNA", at positions 896 to 1382 of the family's 1533-position model. Lineage: Bacteria; Bacillati; Chloroflexota; Anaerolineae; Anaerolineales; Anaerolineaceae. The record is from RNAcentral.
GAAACUCAAAUGAAUUGACGGUCCCGCACAAGCAGCGGAGCGUGUGGUUUAAUUCGAUGCUACACGAAGAACCUUACCUGGGUUUGACAUAGAGGUAGUAGGGAAGCGAAAGCGGACCGACCCUUCGGGGAGCCUCUACAGGUGUUGCAUGGCUGUCGUCAGCUCGUGUCGUGAGAUGUUCGGUUAAGUCCGCUAACGAGCGCAACCCUCGCUGUGUGUUACAAGUGUCACACGGUACUGCCGAUAUUAAGUCGGAGGAAGGUGGGGAUGACGUCAAGUCAGCAUGACCUUUAUAUCCAGGGCUACACACACGCUACAAUGGCCAGUACAAUGGGUUGCCAAGCCGCGAGGCGGAGCCAAUCCUAAAAAGCUGGCCUCAGUUCAGAUUGCAGUCUGCAACUCGACUGCAUGAAGUUGGAGUUGCUAGUAACCGCAGGUCAGCAAUACUGCGGUGAAUACGUUCCCGGGGAUU